UGGGGAAUAUUGGACAAUGGGCGGAAGCCUGAUCCAGCCAUGCCGCGUGAGUGAUGAAGGCCUUCGGGUUGUAAAGCUCUUUCACCCACGACGAUGAUGACGGUAGUGGGAGAAGAAGCCCCGGCUAACUUCGUGCCAGCAGCCGCGGUAAUACGAAGGGGGCGAGCGUUGUUCGGAAUGACUGGGCGUAAAGGGCGCGUAGGCGGUCCGUUGCGUCGGGCGUGAAAGCCCCGGGCUCAACCCGGGAACGGCGCUCGAUACGGGCGGGCUUUGAGUCCGGAAGAGGGUGGUGGAAUUCCCAGUGUAGAGGUGAAAUUCGUAGAUAUUGGGAAGAACACCGGUGGCGAAGGCGGCCACCUGGUCCGGCACUGACGCUGAGGCGCGAAAGCGUGGGGAGCAAACAGG
RNAcentral lists this ribosomal RNA (405 nucleotides) under uncultured bacterium. Its description in RNAcentral is "bacterial SSU rRNA". It matches the Rfam family "Bacterial small subunit ribosomal RNA", at positions 355 to 776 of the family's 1533-position model. The record is from RNAcentral.